Molecule: small RNA, 7496 nt
Filed under: Tetranychus urticae (two-spotted spider mite)
Lineage: Eukaryota; Metazoa; Arthropoda; Arachnida; Trombidiformes; Tetranychidae
Description: sRNA tetur05g00800
Source: RNAcentral
AUUGAUAAUAUUGAGACAAAGCAUGAGAAGAUUAAAGAUGGAAACAGGAGAGAGAAAUGAGAACAGAUUGGAAAGCCCAUCCGAAUGAUAAGGAUGCUUCACGUUAAAUAGUCUUUCAUGGAAGCAGAAUUAUAUUUCGUCUAGUCUUGAAUUUGGUAUUUCCUUAAUUAUGUAAAGACUCAUUGCCUCCACCAAACCUAAUCCAAUCAACCUUCACUUUUUCCCCAAAACUUCAACCCAUCAUGUUUCAUAAGCAAACUCUUAAGGAAAAACAGAGGAAAAACAAUCGGAAACAGGAAAUUGGACAAACACACACAAAAAAAAACAAAAACGAUUCAUGUUAUCAUUCUGUGUAUUCAAAGUGAACUUCGUGUUUCAUCUUACGAUACAUCUGCAUCAGUAAUCCAACUGAAUGGUGCCAACUCUGUUAAUGGGAAGACAAUGUUUUUUUUACCUUACAUCUCUAAUAGUUAACUCUUCAUUUAUCAUUCCUGACAAAUCAUCAAUUCCCUCUCAUCGACAUCAACUUUCAUCAGUUUCUGUUUUUUAAUCCUCCAAAUGUCACUCGUUUUGGUCAAAUCUUAGCCGCUUGUAGAGAAACAAAAUUUAGAGACAAUUUCAUCUAUCGUUUGCGCCAAGUUUACCUCUCAAACUAUCAACAUUUUGCUUGGCUAAAUGUGUCUUCAAAAGGUUAACAAGAUAAAGAGUGAAAUUACAAGCCAACAAAAGAGUUAAAAACUCAUCUCAGUCUGGAUUGUUGUUAAAAUGUUGUGAACUUGAACCAGCAUUUGCAAUGGAAAGAGAAAGCUAAUUGAUAUUCAUUCCAGGAUUUCAUGUUAAACCUGAUUCUCGGAUUUACAGUGACAACUCAUCAAAAGUUGGAGUAAAACAAGAGACGGAACCAAGAAGGAAUUAAGAUGCAGAUAAUGUUGAAGCAAGAAAUGUUUGCAUUUUUCAAUCUAUUCAACCUAAAAUUCCAGAUAUUUACAUCACUUAUUGUUAUUACAAAUUGCCAUCUUCCUUUGUUGAAUCUUCAAUCUUCUUGUUCUAUCAUCGAGCCUUCAUGGUGCUUGCCUUUUCCUCCAACAAACCCGAGGAGAAAAGAGAGAAACAAAAAAAAGAUAAAAAGCAAAAGCAAGGAAAAACAACAAAAGAGGCGAAAAAAAACUAACAUCUGCCAGAGGAACAGUUGACUAUCAAAUAAAUUUGAUUAUAAGCCACUUUUACUUUCAUCUUCACGAUGAUGAUGUUACUCAGGUUUUACAGUCUCUACUCGCUACCAGUGUGUUAUAUGUGUUAACAGGAAAGGAUCCAGAAGAUCAAGAAGCCUACUCUUGAGAGGAAUCAUGAAAGCAAAAACAUUAUAUUGAACCAUCUCACAAACAUGAAAAAAAGUAACAUCAUCUACAGGAGAAAGAAACUGAGGAUGAAAAGGCAAGACUGACCAAGGGAAAUAAGAGAAAAUUGGUAACCAUAGAGAUAUCAUUUUCCAUUAUAACUUUCAUCAUCAUCAUCAUCAUCUUUAUCCCCAUUUUUACCUUUGCUUACGCAUCCUCUUUCACCCGUAUCCCUCUUCAUCUUCCCUUUCACCUUCCCUUCCUCUUCCCUACUUUUAUGAAGUUACCCUUAUUUGCCUGUGAAUCACGUCCAUGAACAAAAAAAAAGAUAAUUCAUGGACGUGAAUACCUUUUUACUCUUUUUUUUUGUCUGUCAUUCUUUGUCCUCUUUCCUCCUUCCAUCUCUUAUCUUUCCUUCAAUGAUGAUGCCAGUUAUCCUUACCUUUCUCUAGUUCAUAAAGAAGAUGGUGAAGGAUGAUGAGCAUGAAAAUAUCAUGAACACACUGAGCAAAUCACUUGAUCAUCAACCUUUUCCAGAUGAUAAAAGAGGUAGAAAUAUUUUCCCUGUAAAAAUGAGACAAAUCUAGGAAGAUGGCUAAAGAUUUGGUGAGAAACAGUAAAACCAUCCAAGAGAAAGAAUGAAAUGAUGAUGAUAUGAUGAUGAUAGGAGGAGGUGAAGGAAGAUGAAAGGCAAUAUCAAAUAUUAUAUCAAAUAUUAUAUCAAGUAUUAUAGUAAUAUAUAAAUAGAGUGGAUGAUCAAUGUUACUAAUUGAGCCUUUAAGGCAUCUUUAUGAAAAAUACAUUGAAACUGUAUCCAUCAUUGUGAUUGUAAAAUGAUUGUGUUGGCAAAGGAAAACAAAAGCAAAAUGGAAACACAACAAAAACUUGUUGAAUCAGUAUUGAUAUAAUUUUAUCCUUUGCCUUUAAUGAUAUUCAUUCAAUUGAUACUGUCAACCAUUCUCCCAAUCAUUUUACUAUUUACAUUUACUGUUUACUGGGUAAAAUGCAAGCAAAUCCAUUCACAAAGGAUAUCAUUUUACGACUUGAUUUCAUCCCUUUCUUUUCCAACCUCAUCAUCAUGCAACCAGAAAUCUGUUUCACUAAAUCUGAUGGGAAUCAUUGUCAUCACCCCUCUUCCUGGUGAUAAAAGCUCAAACUUGUUCAACUAUUAUCAAUAGUUAAACAUAUUUCAUUUGCACUUGCAAAGACAGCUUGAUCCUUAGCAAUUUCAAUUCAAGACACAUUUUUGUCUGAAUUGCGUGUUAAAGGAUCAACUUGAUAGUUACAUUUUUCACAAAAUUCAUUUCUAAUCAACAUUCUAUUAACCAUUUCAAUCCUUCCCAAUGUAUCAGCUUGAUCACAAUUUGGUUGAUUAAGAAGCCAAGUAUACUGUUAACAGUAUAUUGAAACAACACUAACCUCAACCCAUUAAUAUGAAUCUAGAUCUAGUCAGCAACUCUACGAUUGUAUGUAAAUACAGGUUAGUUUUAAUCAAGAUACAAGCUAACUCAAUUUAUCCAAUUUACAUCUAAUGAGUGUUUGCAUAAAAAGGUGGAAAUCACAGUCAAUAACACUUUAGUCCAUUUGGGUUGGCAUUUCCUAGUUGAACCUAAUUUUUAGGUAAAGUUAUCUGUUUUAAGAAGACUGUUUCAAGCCAAUUAUGCUUGUAUUAAUAAGCAUAAUAGACUUGGAGUUAUUUUGCAUUAAAUUGUUGAGACUUGACUCGCAAUUUCACUUACAGUUGAUCAAAUUAUGAUAAAUUUUUGUUCCAUUUUUACUGCAACAUUUGAAAGGACAUUUAUAGCCAUUCAAACUGAUGAAGACUUGAAAAUUUAACGACGACGUCCAACAAAAAGGUCAAUGUUCAGUUUUCAAGUUGCCAUGAAAUUUUCAACUCAUUUUCAGCAUCAUUGAAAGUUGCUAGUUUCAAAUUGCAAUUAACAACUUAAUCUUUUUACCUUUGCUAAAAUUGUACCAAUUUUUUCCUUCCUACUAAAGCUCAUUGUCUUCCUGUUCAAUUCAAGAGUAAUCAUUGUUAAUUUACCUGUUUGUAAUACAAUUUGAAUUGAAAUACAAUCAGGAACACAAAUUGAACCGAGUAAUCUUUACAUUGAGAAAGGUUGAACAAGCAAACAACAAUGUAAUUAACAUUAAAAAAUCAGUAUAUUUUGUUAAUUUGUGUGCUUGUGAGAUGCUAUUCUCAUAACAUGUAAUUAAACAUAAUUAGCAUCAAUUUUGUUGCAAGAAAAAAAUUGAUUAACAUCUUUGAUCAAUUGAAAGGCAAGAAACCCAAGAAAAGAGGAGGAUAAAAAUCAGCAAAUCUAGUAAUUAAGUUGAAAGGUUAUUUAAUAAUCUUGCCUUUUACUCUGAAUUUUGCUUUAAUUACAGCAUAAUCCAGAUUAAAUCAAUUAAACAAAAUAGCAUGAUUGAUUGAACACAUAACAAAAACAUUGGUUUGCAGUGAAACUUGAAUGUAAUUUGAUUUACAAAAUCAACUUCAAGUGAAACUUCAAAUUCAAAGGCCAUUCACAAAGGUGCUAAUCUCAUUGAUUAAGGUUAAUUUUUUUCUUCAAUCGACAUUUAUCAGCAUCAUUUUCAUUCUGAAAAUUACUUUUGAUUAACUCAUUACUAGAUUAUUGUCUCUAUUAUUACAUGUAUCAUCAUCAUUCUCAUCAUCAACAUCAUUCAGUUUUUACACCACGAUUCAGUUUCUCAGUUUAUCUCUUGGAUUUUCUUGUUUCUCUCAAAUGUCAACUCAACAUUUAACAUUAUAAAUGUCAAUAGGAAUGAUUUGUCAUCUUCAUCAUCUUCUUCUUCCUCUUCCUUUCAACCCAAAAAUUUAAACUCUAAAUCAAUUUUUAGUUUAAUUUUCCCUCUCUUCCCAUUUGAUUGGCAGCCAUUGGUUGCUAAGCCAACAAGCAGUUACAAUGAAAGUGAAUCAAUCCUUCGAUUAACCAUUAUUUAUAAUAAUAUCUUCAAUCAAUUGCUGGUGAAUCCUUAUUUUUUAUUUAACAGUUCUGUUCAGCAACAUCAAUAACAACCAACAUCAUCGUCUACAACAUCAUCAUCAUUACCAUCAACAACAACAUCAAUUUAAUCAUAGAUGAUACAAAAAUUGCCAGCAAAAUGAAACACAAGAAAGUGAAAAUUGAAGACACACCAAAAGAAUGGCAACUCAGAAUUGAACCGUUUCGAUGUUUUUCCUUUGUUUUUCCUUUACCAUUCCAACUCUUCUCAUCAUUUCCAUUCUUCGUACAUCAUCAUCAUCUUCAUCAUCCUCACUUCCCUUUCCUCAACCCUCUUUCCCUUCUUAAAUAAGCUUUCCAUUUUAUCGAUUAAUCGAUUUCGAUUGGUUUUGAGUGGAUUUUUGUCUUUUUAUCUUCUACACAAACUCACACAACUCAACAACAUCAGCAAACCUUGAGCAUCCUUUUCACUGCUUAUCCUUUUUCAUCCUCAUUUCUUCCUUCUUACAUCGUCAGAAAACAAAAAAAUAUCAAUUGUGUUUCUUCAAUUUUACUCCUUUUGUUUCUCCUUUUACCAAAAAACAACAACCAAGCCAAACAAACGUCUUAAGAAGAUAUUUAUCUCUUAAUUUAAUUCAUUCUAGUCCUUUUUUCCCCCCUCUCUUCACAUAAUAUUAUUACUUAUAUCUUAUUAUGAUUAUGAUUAUAUUUCGUCUUAUUAUUAUUAGUAUAUCAUUCUUUGAUCACUUUUUAUCCCAAUCCUUUUCAUCCAAUAACCAAAUGUUUGCUUUUUACUCAACUCAUCAUUUCAACUUUUUUUCCCAAAUGUUAUUGAUAUUUGAGUGCGUAACAACAACCAACAACACAAUGUAAUACCCAUUUUUUCCGUAUUUCAGUUAAUCAACAAUUAUCAAUUCCUCUUGUUUAUCAAUAAUUUUAAUUUAACAUUUUAUUUGUCUUGCUAUUAUGAUUAUUAUUCAUUCCUAAUUAUAUUAUGAUUAUUAUAUGUUUCAUUUGAAAGUGGAAAACAAAUUUAACCCAAAAAAAACACAAAUACAUAUGUUCGUAUUUAAAAACAAUUGGUAUUAUGAGUAUUAUUAUUAUUAUUAUUAUGAUUAUUAUUAUUGAGUAUUGAUCAGUUUGACGAUUAUCUUGAUUGGGGCCAAGACGAAGAUGCACAUUCUUAUGUUAUCCUUUCCUCUCUUCCUCCAUCUUCUGAACAUUUUCUCUCUAUCAUGAUGAACUUCAAUACAGGGUGUUAAGGAAACUCAUGUGAGGGAAAAAAUCAUUUCCCUUGCGCAUUAAACCCAUUUUCUGAUGUUAUGGUAAGCCGCUAUUCCUAAGCGCAUUUUGAUACUCUGCCUCACACGAACUUGACACCCUGUACAGUGAAGUACCAGUAAUUGCGACUAAAUUUAUAUAAGACCAUAGGUUGUUCAAUAUUUGAAUAAAUGUGAUCAUGUCUCGGCGUUUUUUUAACAUAAAAUUCAAAAAAUUAGAAACUCUUUCAAUUGUUGACCACAAAAUCUGGUCAAAAGAAGAUUUUGAACAAAACUAUUUAGAUUUGUUGAAAUUAAUUUUACUAAUUAGAAAACAUUUGCACGUAAAAUAGCUUCUCUGCUAUUUAAAGAGAGUCACAAUUACUGUACCUGACUGUAAUGAAAUAACACACAAAAUACUGGCUCAAAAGGCGUACUGUUAACCAAAAGUCAACCCAACAGUUAACAGUGAAACCAGAAAAUUUGAAAAUGUAAAAGAAACGCCAAAGCAAACCCAAAAAAAGAUCAAACGGUUUACCAGAAAAGGCAAAAUCUGGUAAACAUCUUUUCGGCUUUUAACCCAAUACAUCUUGACAGAUGACAACCAAUGUUAUAAAGACGAUAAUUAUGGUGAUGAUGAUUUGAUUGAAAUUAUUAUUAAUCUAGAGAAUCUAACACACAUGAAUUGGUAAAUGGAUGAAGAUGAAGAGGAAUAAUGAAGGAGAUAAAAAAAAGUGAAUUUUAUUCUUCUUUUUACCAGAAAACUUUUGUUUCCUUUCAAAAGGCAAAAUUAACAUUUCAACCCUUUCUUUUCGUCUUCAGUCUUCAGUUUUUUUUUCUUCUUCUACUUCAACAUUUCAUCUACAUUGUCAUUUUAAUGGUUAAUACAAUUAGGUUGGCUUCUUCCUAAUUCUUAUUAGACACACACACACAAAAAAACGAGAAAACAUUUUUCAACCCAAAAAAAUUAACAUUAUACUUAAAAAACGUAAUUUAAUUAUAUUAUGAUUAUUAUUAUUCACUUUUCUUUUGCUAAGCCAAUUUGCUUGAUUACUUUAUAUAUAAAAGCACACAAAACCUGCAAAGCAAGCAAAAAGGAUGCCAACAGCUUGACUAACUUGUUAACAGCGUUUACAAUUUACUUGGGAUUUUACUUGCUACUUCGUCUUAUUAUUAUCAUUACGUAUUAUUAUCAUUCCUGAUCAUUAUUCUGAUUAUCAUUCUUAUGGUUCUAUUAUUCCUUAAGCGAAACUCAAUAUUUUAAAAUAUUUACUAAAUUUUUUGCUUGUGUGUGACGUUUUGACUUGAUUUUUUCGUAAACAAGAAACUUAUAAUUUGCUUCAACCACCCGCAAACAACCCACCAAAAAGACCAUCGAUUAAGAAAACAAAAUCUUUCUAACGAUUGCCAUUGUAAUGGUCAUCCUUGUCGUCAUUCAUCAUCAUCAACAUAAUCAUCGUUAAUGUUAACGGCAAUGUGUAAUGUAUGGAUCUCGCAACUUGGAUGUAAAAAAUUUUCCAGAAAAAAAACGAUUCCAUUCGGAUUCCCUUUCCAUCUUGAUAUGCCACUUUGAUUACCCUUAGUAAAAUUUGAACCAUCUUUUUUGUAUCCGUAAUUGUAUAUCGAGGUAAUCAGAAUAUUUCUGGAAUCAGACAAAAAAAAGAAUGAAAAUUAUUAUAAAAAUUGAUACAAAAAAUAGAGAUUUAAAAAACGAGAAAAGAACAUCAAAAGUAAAAAUAUAAAUAAAGCAAAAUUUGACUAAUAAAUUGUAAUAAUGAAUACUUGUGUUGUCAAUGUGAAAUUGAAACAUUGAACUCCUUUUCACAGCAAAUUUGAAACAAUUUGAAAAGGCCUAAUGAAAAAAUAUACACAAAUUAUUGUAAAUAACCUGGGGGGUUGGUAACAAGUAAAGGCCAAUGUUUUAAAUGAUAAAC